CCUACGGGAGGCAGCAGUGAGGAAUAUUGGUCAAUGGGCGCGAGCCUGAACCAGCCAAGUCGCGUGAAGGAUGACUGUUCUACGGAUUGUAAACUUCUUUUAUAAGGGAAUAAAGUGUGGCACGUGUCCCAUUUUGUAUGUACCUUAUGAAUAAGGAUCGGCUAACUCCGUGCCAGCAGCCGCGGUAAUACGGAGGAUCCGAGCGUUAUCCGGAUUUAUUGGGUUUAAAGGGAGCGUAGGUGGGCUGUUAAGUCAGUGGUGAAAGUUUGCGGCUCAACCGUAAAAUUGCAAUUGAUACUGGCAGUCUUGAGUACAUUUGAGGUAGGCGGAAUGCGUGGUGUAGCGGUGAAAUGCUUAGAUAUCACGAAGAACUCCGAUUGCGAAGGCAGCUUACUAAGCUGCCACUGACACUGAUGCUCGAAAGCGUGGGUAUCAAACAGGAUUAGAUACCCUGGUAGUC
Molecule: ribosomal RNA, 460 nt
Filed under: uncultured bacterium
Lineage: Bacteria
Description: partial 16S ribosomal RNA
Rfam family: Bacterial small subunit ribosomal RNA
Source: RNAcentral